GGAUGCAUCUAAAAGACUUCCCAUAGCUUCAUGCAAACCAUGCUUUUGAGCCAAAGGAGUGGCUACAGCCUUUGCCAAAACAUCUCUGUCUUGGCCAGCAACUCAGUAGCAUACUUGCAUUGAUUUAAGUGAAUUCCUUCUUCAAAAUAUAUACUUCACCUCAACUCCUAGAAAGAAGUGUAAAGAGCCAAGAUCUUUCAUAGCAGACUCCUUCCCAAGUUGUAGAAACAACUCUG
Molecule: long non-coding RNA, 236 nt
Filed under: Solanum tuberosum (potato)
Lineage: Eukaryota; Viridiplantae; Streptophyta; Magnoliopsida; Solanales; Solanaceae
Description: long non-coding RNA (STUB_LNC009827)
Source: RNAcentral